Molecule: long non-coding RNA, 388 nt
Filed under: Heterocephalus glaber (naked mole-rat)
Lineage: Eukaryota; Metazoa; Chordata; Mammalia; Rodentia; Bathyergidae
Description: lncRNA (ENSHGLG00100042967.1)
Source: RNAcentral
CUCUUUACUGGGGCCAAUGGGCAAUGUCUGGAAACAUGUUUGCUUGUCACAGUGGUGUCUAGUGAGCAAAAGCCCAGGAUGUCCCUGAGUAUCUUACAGUGCCCAGGACAGCAGCUCCUGCCUGACAAAGCGCUAUCCUGACCUCCAAUAGUUGAAGGCCCAGAGACCCUGCCCCAGCGAGGAGCUCCUCUCCAACAGUCCUGGCUGGGAACAUUAGAAGGGACCGAGGCGGCGAGAUGUCUAAAAUAGGAAGACGCCGGGGAUGCUUGGCCUGGCUGCCCGCGAUGCUGGCUGCAGGGAUCUGGCCGGGCUGUGCAGAUGGAAAAGCUAAGAGGCCUAAAAGUCGUGGAAUCAGCUGACCAUGGACUGAAACCUCUGAAACCAUGAG